GUGUCAGCCGCCGCGGUAAUACGGGGGGUGCGAGCGUUGUCCGGAAUCACUGGGCGUAAAGGGCGCGUAGGUGGCCUGAUAAGGGUGUGGUGAAAGUCCGGGGCUCAACCCCGGAUCUGCCGUGCCGACUGUUAGGCUAGAGUACUGUAGGGGCAGGCGGAAUUCCGGGUGUAGCGGUGGAAUGCGUAGAGAUCCGGAGGAAGACCGGUGGCGAAGGCGGCCUGCUGGGCAGUUACUGACACUGAGGCGCGACAGCGUGGGGAGCAAACAGGAUUAGAUACCCUCGUAGUCC
RNAcentral lists this ribosomal RNA (292 nucleotides) under uncultured bacterium. RNAcentral describes it as "partial 16S ribosomal RNA". It matches the Rfam family "Bacterial small subunit ribosomal RNA", at positions 505 to 796 of the family's 1533-position model. The record is from RNAcentral.